Molecule: non-coding RNA, 125 nt
Organism: Triticum aestivum (bread wheat)
Lineage: Eukaryota; Viridiplantae; Streptophyta; Magnoliopsida; Poales; Poaceae
Source: Rfam
UUCAUACUCCCUUCGUUCGGAAAUACUUGUCGGAGAAAUGGAUGUAUUUAAACAUAUUUUAGUUCUAGAUACAUCUAUUUUUAUUCAUUUCUUUGACAAGUAUUUCCGGACAGAGGGAGUAUUAU